UACAGGGGGAGCAAGCGUUGUUCGGAUUUACUGGGCGUAAAGGGCGCGUAGGCGGUCGUGACAAGUCACUUGUGAAAUCUCCGGGCUUAACUCGGAACGGUCAAGUGAUACUGUCGGACUAGAGUACAGAAGGGGCAACUGGAAUUCUCGGUGUAGCGGUGAAAUGCGUAGAUAUCGAGAGGAACACCUGCGGCGAAGGCGGGUUGCUGGGCUGAUACUGACGCUGAGGCGCGAAAGCCAGGGGAGCGAACGGG
This 254-nucleotide ribosomal RNA is filed under the name uncultured bacterium. Its description in RNAcentral is "partial 16S ribosomal RNA". It matches the Rfam family "Bacterial small subunit ribosomal RNA", at positions 524 to 776 of the family's 1533-position model. The record is from RNAcentral.